AGAGUUUGAUGAUGGCUCAGAUUGAACGCUGGCGGCAGUUCUGAGACAUGCAAGUCGAGCCGUAACAGCAGAAGCUCGCUUCCGGCUGACGAGCGGCGGACGUGUGAGUAUCUCGUCGGAAUCUACCUAGUAGUGGGGGACAAUCCGGGGAACUACGGGCUAAUACCGCAUACGCUCUACGGAGGAAAGCAGGGGAUCUUCGGACCUUGCGCUAUAGGAGGAGCCUGCGUCGGAUUAGCUAGUUGGUGGGGUAAAGGCCUACCAAGGCGACGAUCCGUAGCUGGUCUGAGAGGAUGAUCAGCCACACUGGAACUGAGACACGGUCCAGACUCCUACGGGAGGCGGCAGUGGGGAAUUUUGGGCAAUGGGCGCAAGCCUGACCCAGCCAUGCCGCGUGUGUGAAGAAGGCCUUCGGGUUGUAAAGCACUUUCGGCGGUGAAGAAAAGCUCAGGGCCAAUAUCCUUGAGUCUUGACGUUAUCUGCAGAAGAAGCACCGGCUAACUACGUGCCAGCAGCCGCGGUAAUACGGAGGGUGCGAACGUUAAUCGGAAUCACUGGGCGUAAAGCGCGCGUAGGCGGUUUGUUAAGUCAGAUGUGAAAUCCCCGGGCUUAACCUGGAACUGCAUUUCAAACUGGCGAACUAGAGUGCGGUAGAGGGAGGUAGAAUUUCCUGUGUAGCGGUGAAAUGCGUAGAUAUAGGAAGGAAUUCCAGUGGCGAAGGCGGCCCCCUGGGCUAACACUGACGCUAAGGCGCGAAAGCGUGGGGAGCAAACAGGAUUAGAUACCCCGGUAGUCC
Molecule: ribosomal RNA, 796 nt
Filed under: uncultured bacterium
Lineage: Bacteria
Description: bacterial SSU rRNA
Rfam family: Bacterial small subunit ribosomal RNA
Source: RNAcentral